Molecule: ribosomal RNA, 253 nt
Filed under: uncultured bacterium
Lineage: Bacteria
Description: partial 16S ribosomal RNA
Rfam family: Bacterial small subunit ribosomal RNA
Source: RNAcentral
UACGUAGGGGGCUAGCGUUGUCCGGAAUCAUUGGGCGUAAAGCGCGUGUAGGCGGUUCGGUAAGUCCGCUGUGAAAGUCGGGGGCUCAACCCUCGGAAGCCGGUGGAUACUGUCGAGCUAGAGUACGGAAGAGGCGAGUGGAAUUCCUGGUGUAGCGGUGAAAUGCGCAGAUAUCAGGAGGAACACCAAUUGCGAAGGCAGCUCGCUGGGACGUUACUGACGCUGAGGCGCGAAAGCGUGGGGAGCAAACAGG